Molecule: long non-coding RNA, 487 nt
Organism: Oncorhynchus nerka (sockeye salmon)
Lineage: Eukaryota; Metazoa; Chordata; Actinopteri; Salmoniformes; Salmonidae
Exons: 3
Source: RefSeq, a predicted model, not a curated record
AGCUUGUUCACAGGAAAACCACAGAUGUCUCAUAUGACAACUAUGGGCUAACGUCGUGUUGCAGAGGACAAGGAGGCUGAACAUUCAGAAUCAUUUAUCGCUGGCAGUCAAGGGUAGGGUCAAGGAGCCCAAGCCAAAGGCCACUGAGAACACUGAUCCCAAUGUGGAGAAGGCUGCCAACGUUGGAGCCAAGAAGACUAAGGACAAGGAAGCCGAAGCUGAGAAGAAAAAGGCUACAGCCAAAAAGCAGAAGGAGAAACCUUCAGAGGCAAGUGUGGUUUCAGUUAUGUUAUGACUAUUGGCAUUGUUCAAGUGGUUUUGGGUUAUAGGGACUUUUUUUUACACUUUUGUCAUGGGUACUGUUCCCUAUUUGGGCUUUACCAUGGUUGAAUUGAUUCUCAAAUUGAAUCUCAUGUCUUAGAUGCUACCACAAACUAGCAGCAUUGCAAACCUGUCAUUUUCAUCUUUCAGGAUGAAAACUCAGGAA